GAUGAACGCUGGCGGCGUGCCUAAUACAUGCCAGUCGAGCGAACAGACGAGGAGCUUGCUCCUCUGACGUUAGCGGCGGACGGGUGAGUAACACGUGGAUAACCUACCUAUAAGACUGGGAUAACUUCGGGAAACCGGAGCUAAUACCGGAUAAUAUAUUGAACCGCAUGGUUCAAUAGUGAAAGACGGGUUUGCUGUCACUUAUAGAUGGAUCCGCGCCGCAUUAGCUAGUUGGUAAGGUAACGGCUUACAAAGGCGACGAUGCGUAGCCGACCUGAGAGGGUGAUCGGCCACACUGGAAGUGAGACACGGUCCAGACUCCUACGGGAGGCAGCAGUAGGGAAUCUUCCGAAAUGGGCGAAAGCCUGACGGAGCAACGCCGCGUGAGUGAUGAAGGUCUUCGGAUCGUAAAACUCUGUUAUUAGGGAAGAACAAAUGUGUAAGUAACUAUGCACGUCUUGACGGUACCUAAUCAGAAAGCCACGGCUAACUACGUG
RNAcentral lists this ribosomal RNA (497 nucleotides) under uncultured bacterium. RNAcentral's name for it is "partial 16S ribosomal RNA". It matches the Rfam family "Bacterial small subunit ribosomal RNA", at positions 28 to 507 of the family's 1533-position model. The record is from RNAcentral.